RNAcentral lists this small RNA (159 nucleotides) under Sinorhizobium meliloti 2011. Its description in RNAcentral is "putative ncRNA". The record is from RNAcentral. Lineage: Bacteria; Pseudomonadati; Pseudomonadota; Alphaproteobacteria; Hyphomicrobiales; Rhizobiaceae.
GUCAAGCCCGAGGAUGACAUGCGGUAGGGUUCGUAAAAACUAGGGCGAGGUUCUUGCACGAACCGGCUGAUCGGCUUUGCGAAGGCUGAGGUUAAGGGUCACAGCAACGUCCCUUCCCAGUCCCCUCGACUCCUCCCCGGUCAUCCUCGGGCUUGACCC